Molecule: transfer RNA, 71 nt
Filed under: Heloderma suspectum (Gila monster)
Lineage: Eukaryota; Metazoa; Chordata; Lepidosauria; Squamata; Helodermatidae
Description: tRNA-Thr
Rfam family: tRNA
About the family: Transfer RNA (tRNA) molecules are approximately 80 nucleotides in length.
Source: RNAcentral
GUCUUAUAUAGCUUAACUCUUAAAGCACUGAUCUUGUAAAUCAGAAAUGGGAUUUGAAACCCCUAAAGACA